CCUACGGGAGGCAGCAGUGGGGAAUAUUGCGCAAUGGGCGAAAGCCUGACGCAGCGACGCCGCGUGAGGGAUGAAGGUCUUCGGAUCGUAAACCUCUGUCAGCAGGGAAGAACGGUCACUGUGCUAAUCAGCAGUGAAUUGACGGUACCUGCAAAGGAAGCACCGGCUACCUCCGUGCCAGCAGCCGCGGUAAUACGGAGGGUGGGAGCGUUAAUCGGAUUUACUGGGCGUAAAGCGCUAUGAGGCGGUAUGUCAAGUCAAGGGUGAAAUCCCCGCGCUCAACGUGGGAACUGCCUUUGAAACUGGCAAACUUGAGUGUGUGAGAGGAUAGUGGAAUUCCAGGUGUAGGAGUGAAAUCCGUAGAGAUCUGGAGGAACAUCAGUGGCGAAGGCGACUAUCUGGCACAUAACUGACGCUGAGGAGCGAAAGCGUGGGUAGCAAACAGGAUUAGAUACCCGAGUAGUC
Molecule: ribosomal RNA, 465 nt
Filed under: uncultured bacterium
Lineage: Bacteria
Description: partial 16S ribosomal RNA
Rfam family: Bacterial small subunit ribosomal RNA
Source: RNAcentral